CCCUUAGAUGCUCUGGGCCGCACGCGCGCUACACUGGUCGAUGCAACGAGUUUCUUUCCUUGGCCGACAGGCCUGGGCAAUCUUUGAACAUCGAUCGUGAUCGGGAUAGAUUCUUGUAAUUUUUGAUCUUAAACGAGGAAUUCCUAGUGAACGCAAGUCAUCAGCUUGCAUUGAUUACGUCCCUGCCCUUUGUACACACCGCCCGUCGCACCUACCGAUUGAAUGGUCCGGUGAAAUCUCCGGACUGGCGUGAGUCGGAGCAAUCUGACAAACACCGGAAAGUUGAUUAAACCUUACCAUUUAGAGGAAGGUGAAGUCGUAACA
This 324-nucleotide ribosomal RNA is filed under the name uncultured eukaryote. RNAcentral describes it as "partial 18S ribosomal RNA". It matches the Rfam family "Eukaryotic small subunit ribosomal RNA", at positions 1470 to 1796 of the family's 1831-position model. The record is from RNAcentral.